UGCCAUAACUAAGAGGUCUUUUUUAUAGAAACCACUGUGUUUUUACGUAAAAAUUCAUAUUCAAUGGUGCACUGGUCACUUUCCAUAAUCUUCGGCUGAUUCUGUAUUGAUGAUCUACUCCUUAACAGGUAGGGGAUAAAUUAUAUAUAUAUCUGGAGUAUGUAUCUGGUGGUUCCAUCCAUAAGAUUCUACAGGACUAUGGAAAAUUAGGAGAAUCAGCCAUCCGCAGUUACACUCAGCAAAUUUUGUCAGGGCUUGCAUAUUUACAUGCUAAAAACACUGUGCACAGGGACAUAAAAGGAGCCAAUAUACUCGUGGACCCAAAUGGCCGUGUUAAGCUGGCAGAUUUUGGGAUGGCGAAGCAUAUUACCGGGCAUUCUUGUCCCUUAUCGUUCAAGGGUAGUCCUUACUGGAUGGCGCCCGAGGUUAUUAGGAAUUCAAA
Non-coding RNA from Salvia hispanica, 442 nucleotides. The record is from RefSeq and is a predicted model, not a curated record. Lineage: Eukaryota; Viridiplantae; Streptophyta; Magnoliopsida; Lamiales; Lamiaceae.